AAAAUAAUUUAGAUGAUGAAUUCAAUUAAAGUAUGCAUAAAAUUUUUCUGUAUGUGUUCAGUACUAGCUGCUGUUUGCACAAAUUGUUUCGAAUAUCAAUAUCAAAUCAAUUUCCGAAUAUAUCAUAAAUGAAAGGAUAAAAAGUGGAUGUUUUUCAUAUGAAAGUGUAUGUAACAUAUCAAUAUGAGUUGCUUCCCUUAGCCACAGAGAAAUGUUAUUUUGAUACAUGUAUAUUGUCUUUUUUUUUAUUGUUA
RNAcentral lists this long non-coding RNA (254 nucleotides) under Mytilus galloprovincialis (Mediterranean mussel). The record is from RNAcentral. Lineage: Eukaryota; Metazoa; Mollusca; Bivalvia; Mytilida; Mytilidae.